RNAcentral lists this ribosomal RNA (141 nucleotides) under uncultured bacterium. RNAcentral describes it as "partial 16S ribosomal RNA". It matches the Rfam family "Bacterial small subunit ribosomal RNA", at positions 355 to 509 of the family's 1533-position model. The record is from RNAcentral.
UGGGGAAUAUUGGGCAAUGGGCGAAAGCCUUACCCAGCAACGCCGCGUGAGGGAAGAAGGUUUUCGGAUUGUAAACCUCUGUCCUGGGGGGACGAAGGAAGUGACGGUACCCCGGGAGGAAGCCCCGGCUAACUACGUGCC